RNAcentral lists this ribosomal RNA (253 nucleotides) under uncultured bacterium. Its description in RNAcentral is "partial 16S ribosomal RNA". It matches the Rfam family "Bacterial small subunit ribosomal RNA", at positions 524 to 776 of the family's 1533-position model. The record is from RNAcentral.
UACGUAGGGUGCAAGCGUUGUCCGGAAUUAUUGGGCGUAAAGAGCUCGUAGGCGGUUUGUCGCGUCGAAUGUGAAAACCCGGGGCUCAACCCCGGGCCUGCAUUCGAUACGGGCAGACUAGAGUUCGGUAGGGGAGUCUGGAAUUCCUGGUGUAGCGGUGAAAUGCGCAGAUAUCAGGAGGAACGCCGGUGGCGAAGGCGGGUCUCUGGGCCGAUACUGACGCUGAGGAGCGAAAGCGUGGGGAGCGAACAGG